UACGAAGGGGGCUAGCGUUGUUCGGAAUUACUGGGCGUAAAGCGCGCGCAGGCGGCUAUCCAAGUCAGUGGUGAAAGCCCGGAGCUCAACUCCGGAACUGCCAUUGAAACUGUUUAGCUUGAGGACGAGAGAGGUGAGUGGAAUUCCCAGUGUAGAGGUGAAAUUCGUAGAUAUUGGGAAGAACACCGGUGGCGAAGGUGGCUCUCUGGGACGGUACUGACGCUGAGACGCGAAAGCGUGGGGAGCGAACAGG
RNAcentral lists this ribosomal RNA (253 nucleotides) under uncultured bacterium. RNAcentral's name for it is "partial 16S ribosomal RNA". It matches the Rfam family "Bacterial small subunit ribosomal RNA", at positions 524 to 776 of the family's 1533-position model. The record is from RNAcentral.